CCUACCGGUGGCAGCAGUGGGGAAUCUUCCACAAUGGACGAAAGCCUGAUGCAGCACCGCCGCGUGAGCGAAGAAGGCGUUCGGAUUGUAAAGCUCUGUUGUGAGUGAGAGAACAAGUACGCGAGCAUCCGCCCGUGACUGACGGUACCUCAGAAAAGCACCGCUACAUCG
Molecule: ribosomal RNA, 171 nt
Filed under: uncultured Bacillus sp.
Lineage: Bacteria; Bacillati; Bacillota; Bacilli; Caryophanales; Bacillaceae
Description: partial 16S ribosomal RNA
Rfam family: Bacterial small subunit ribosomal RNA
Source: RNAcentral